GUGUUUGCUUAGGCAGCACAUAUACUAAAAUUGUAAUCAUGCAGAGAUUAGCAUGGGCCUCUCUGCAAGGAUGACACGCAAAUUUGUGAAGUGUUCUGUAUUUUU
Small nuclear RNA from Nycticebus coucang (slow loris), 105 nucleotides. Lineage: Eukaryota; Metazoa; Chordata; Mammalia; Primates; Lorisidae. The record is from RefSeq and is a predicted model, not a curated record.